ACUCCAUGACUGUUUCCCAACGUAGAAGUGAACAACAACAAAACCAAUAAAACAGAAACACAGCUAAAUCACUUCAUGUCACUGGGUGGAAUACUACAACCAAGAAAAUUUCAACUUGAUCAGUUUCUUCAGCUUGUAAUGGCGAUGACCCUGUCCCUGCUUUUCAUGGUGUAGGUGGAGACAUGCACAGAUAAGGUGUUGAGAAGGAUCAGAAAGUUUCCUCCUUCCCACCUCUCCCAGAGAGCAAAGAUCCUGAACCCUGAAUCACGCGGGACGUGGGGGAACAAACUUUACACAACUGGUGUCCUCGUAAGAAUAGGAGAUGUGGACAUAGACAUGCCCGGAGUAAAGACCAUGUGAGCACACAGCAAGAAGACAUCCAUCUGCAAGCCAGGGAGAGAGGCCUCAGAAGAAACUAACCCCACUGACACUUUGAACUUGGACUUCCAGCCUUCAGAACUAUAGUCAGAAAAGAGAUGUCUAUUAAGCGCCCCCACCCCCACCCUCUGUAGUACUUGGUAUGACAGCCCGAGCAAAAUAAAACGGAGUGCUUAUA
Molecule: long non-coding RNA, 556 nt
Organism: Myotis lucifugus (little brown bat)
Lineage: Eukaryota; Metazoa; Chordata; Mammalia; Chiroptera; Vespertilionidae
Exons: 3
Source: RefSeq, a predicted model, not a curated record